This 254-nucleotide ribosomal RNA is filed under the name uncultured bacterium. RNAcentral's name for it is "partial 16S ribosomal RNA". It matches the Rfam family "Bacterial small subunit ribosomal RNA", at positions 524 to 776 of the family's 1533-position model. The record is from RNAcentral.
UACGUAGGGUGCAAGCGUUGUCCGGAAUUAUUGGGCGUAAAGAGCUCGUAGGCGGUUUGUUGCGUCGGCUGUGAAAUCCCGAGGCUCAACCUCGGGUCUGCAGUCGAUACGAGCAGACUAGAGUGUUGCAGGGGGAGACUGGAAUUCCUGGUGUAGCGGUGAAAUGCGCAGAUAUCAGGAGGAACACCGGUGGCGAAGGCGGCCAUCUGGACCGCAACUGACGCUGAGGCGCGAAAGCGUGGGGAGCAAACAGG